Molecule: long non-coding RNA, 273 nt
Filed under: Capsella rubella
Lineage: Eukaryota; Viridiplantae; Streptophyta; Magnoliopsida; Brassicales; Brassicaceae
Description: long non-coding RNA (CRUB_LNC002355)
Source: RNAcentral
CAAAAUCUAUGUGAAAUUUUUUUGGUCUACUGAUCUUUAUAAUCUUUAUAGCAUAUAUCAGAUUUGCGGUUACAUAAUGCAUAUUUUGCAAAGGAGUGAUGCAAGACUACUCAAAAGUUUCAGAAAACUGCAAACAGUUUUUUUACAAAAAAAAAUAAAUAAAUAAAUAAAAAACAUAUUUUAAAACCCAACACACUAAUAUAUUUAUACUUCUAUUCCAUCAAACAAAUAUUUAGAUUUUAAAUCUCUUUAGAUAGAGACCAUAACUUUAGA